GUGAGGAAUAUUGGUCAAUGGGCGAGAGCCUGAACCAGCCAAGUCGCGUGAAGGAAGUCGGCCCUACGGGUUGUAAACUUCUUUUGCAAUGGAAUAAAAAGAGUUACGUGUAAUUCAUUGUAUGUACAUUGCGAAUAAGGAUCGGCUAACUCCGUGCCAGCAGCCGCGGUAAUACGGAGGAUCCGAGCGUUAUCCGGAUUUAUUGGGUUUAAAGGGUGCGUAGGCGGAUUGGAAAGUCAGCGGGGAAAGUUUGCAGCUUAACUGUAAAAUUGCCAUUGAAACUGUCAGUCUUGAGUGCAAAUGAGGUAGGCGGAAUGUGUUGUGUAGCGGUGAAAUGCAUAGAUAUAACACAGAACACCAAUUGCGAAGGCAGCUUACUGGGAUGCAACUGACGCUGAGGCACGAAAGCGUGGGGAUCAAACAGGAUUAGAAACCCGUGUAGUCC
Molecule: ribosomal RNA, 445 nt
Filed under: uncultured bacterium
Lineage: Bacteria
Description: partial 16S ribosomal RNA
Rfam family: Bacterial small subunit ribosomal RNA
Source: RNAcentral